UGACUUCUUUCAAGGCACGUUUCAGCUUCAACCAUCAGUUUGCUGUGCUUUUACAGGAGCCUUUAUGAAUGCAACAAAAAGACCUGGAGUUUCCUGGAUGUUACUUGAAACAGGAUAAUCAUUUACUCAUGUGCAACUCUCGACCACAUGGAAGCCACUCACAAAAUAAGCUGCAGCCUUUUCUAACAAAGGAACUCCUUUCUGUUUUAUUUUUCCAACCCAAGUUCCCAAAACAAAGUCAUUAAAUUUCUCCCUUUGUUCUGG
Athene cunicularia (burrowing owl) is the source of this 264-nucleotide long non-coding RNA. RefSeq lists it as uncharacterized. NCBI's taxonomy places the organism in Eukaryota, Metazoa, Chordata, Aves, Strigiformes, Strigidae. The record is from RefSeq and is a predicted model, not a curated record. The transcript is spliced from 2 exons.